Molecule: non-coding RNA, 457 nt
Organism: Mus musculus (house mouse)
Lineage: Eukaryota; Metazoa; Chordata; Mammalia; Rodentia; Muridae
Source: the annotation of a RefSeq genome assembly
UGGGAUGGAGCUGUAUCAUUGUCCUCUUGGUAUCAACAGCUACAGGUAAGGGGCUCACAGUAGCAGGCUCGAUGUCUGGCCAUACACUUGAGUGACAAUGACAUCCACUCUGCCUUUCUCUCCACAGGUGUCCACUCCCAGGUCCAACUGCAGCAGCCUGGGGCUGAGCUGGUGAGGCCUGGGACUUCAGUGAAGUUGUCCUGCAAGGCUUCUGGCUACACCUUCACCAGCUACUGGAUGCACUGGGUAAAGCAGAGGCCUGGACAAGGCCUUGAGUGGAUCGGAGUGAUUGAUCCUUCUGAUAGUUAUACUAACUACAAUCAAAAGUUCAAGGGCAAGGCCACAUUGACUGUAGACACAUCCUCCAGCACAGCCUACAUGCAGCUCAGCAGCCUGACAUCUGAGGACUCUGCGGUCUAUUACUGUGCAAGACACAGUGUUGCAACCACAUCCUGAG